CAAUAGCGUAUAUUUAAGUUGCUGCAGUUAAAAAGCUCGUAGUUGGAUUUCGGGUGGGAAUGGCCGGUCCGCCGUUUCGGUGUGCACUUGCUACGCCCACCUUGCUGCCGGGGACGUGCUCUUGAGUUCACGCUCGGGACACGGAGUCGGCGAGGUUACUUUGAGUAAAUUAGAGUGUUCAAAGCAGGCCUACGCUCUGAAUACAUUAGCAUGGAAUAACACGAUAGGACUCUGGCCUAUCUUGUUGGUCUGUAGGACCGGAGUAAUGAUUAGAGGGACAGUCGGGGGCAUUCGUAUUUCAUUGUCAGAGGUGAAAUUCUUGGAUUUAUGAAAGACGAACUACUGCGAAAGCAUUUGCCAAGGAUGUUUUCAUUAA
Molecule: ribosomal RNA, 376 nt
Filed under: uncultured eukaryote
Lineage: Eukaryota
Description: partial 18S ribosomal RNA
Rfam family: Eukaryotic small subunit ribosomal RNA
Source: RNAcentral